This 495-nucleotide ribosomal RNA is filed under the name uncultured bacterium. RNAcentral describes it as "partial 16S ribosomal RNA". It matches the Rfam family "Bacterial small subunit ribosomal RNA", at positions 28 to 507 of the family's 1533-position model. The record is from RNAcentral.
GACGAACGCUGGCGGCGUGCCUAAUACAUGCAAGUAGAACGCUGAAGGAGGAGCCUGCUUCUCUGGAUGAGUUGCGAACGGGUGAGUAACGCGUAGGUAACCUGCCUGGUAGCGGGGGAUAACUAUUGGAAACGAUAGCUAAUACCGCAUAAGAGUAGAUGUCGCAUGACAUUUGCUUAAAAGGUGCAAUUGCAUCACUACCAGAUGGACCUGCGUUGGAUUAGCUAGUUGGUGAGGUAACGGCUCACCAAGGCAACGAUACAUAGCCGACCUGAGAGGGGGGUCGGCCACACUGGGACUGGGACACGGCCCAGACUCCUACGGGAGGCAGCAGUAGGGGAUCUUCGGCAAUGGACGGAAGUCUGACCGAGCAACGCCGCGGGAGUGAAGAAGGGUGUCGGAUCGUAAAGCUCGGUUGUAAGAGAAGAACGAGUGUGAGAGUGGAAAGUUCACACUGUGACGGUAUCUUACCAGAAAGGGACGGCUAACUACGUG